This 210-nucleotide long non-coding RNA is filed under the name Mytilus galloprovincialis (Mediterranean mussel). Lineage: Eukaryota; Metazoa; Mollusca; Bivalvia; Mytilida; Mytilidae. The record is from RNAcentral.
GUCGCGUUUUACUGGAGAGACAGAACAUAUCCACUGUAUAGCAUUUGGUUUUAUCCAGCCGGGGUCUAACCAACGACCUUUUUCACUCGAUGCAAACACGAUACUAUUAGACAAUUCUCUCAACAAAUCGAAUUUUACAAUUACAACCAGUGUUUCAAAGUUCCAUACACUUUUUACAAUCAUUAAACACCUGACAAAUGUGCACCCGCU